Molecule: long non-coding RNA, 1095 nt
Filed under: Piliocolobus tephrosceles (Ugandan red Colobus)
Lineage: Eukaryota; Metazoa; Chordata; Mammalia; Primates; Cercopithecidae
Description: lncRNA (ENSPTEG00000006124.1)
Source: RNAcentral
UCUCAAUUUUCUUAAUUAAAUAAAAAAAAGAAAUGCCUUCUAUGUGCACGUGCGCCUAAAUAAGUAUUACCAUUUCAUAUCCACACUUGUACGCACAUAUCUAUUCCUUCCCUGUAGAAUCAAAAUGAUGAACUCAUUUUUUUCUGAUGAUACGACUGAAGAAGACAAUCUAAUAAAAAGCAUAACAAAAAGUAACACUAAUAAAAUUCCGAAUAUUAUAAAGGACAUAGCAACUUCUAAUUUAGUAAAAAGGGAUAGUAAGGGUCACACAAAAAAUGAGAAUGCGAAUAUAAAAACUGAAAUAAUAGACUCAUAUGGUAACAAUAACAAAAGUUCAGAAACAAUUAAUAACAAUAGUGGUGUUAGUGGUAAUAAUAAUAAUAAUAAUAAUAAUAAUAAUAAUAAUAAUAAUAAUAGCUAUUCGGAUGAAGAAGUGCUUAGUGCUGAUUUGCACACUAACAUUUUGCCAUUCCAUAUAAAAAAAACAGGCAAAAUAAAUGCAGACAUUUUUUUUAUACCAUAUAAAAGUGAAGAUAACAAGGAUGUCAUAACUGAUUAUACAUAUAACUAUGAUUAUUAUGAUGUAUAUUCUGAUAAGAUUGAAAAAACAAAUAAAAUAUGCCAUCAACUUAAAAAACGUACUAGUACGCAAACUAAUGAAAUGUCGGUAGAAAAUAAAAAAAUAAAAAUCGAACGUGACAUAAAUGAGAAAAAUAAUACUAUUGACAAUAGUAAUAAAGCUGAAGAAAAAAAAUGCCAAAACUUCCAAAAAUUGCUUGUUCAUUUUAGAGGUAGGUUAUUUAUUGGGGUUAAUGUAGAAUAUUCUUUUUUUCAUACCAAAACAUAUUUAUCAGUUAUACAAGAUCAUAAUAAGCAAAAUGAAAAAAAUACAAAUGAUUUAUGUUUUAUUAAAAAACAAAUUACAACUUAUAAUCAGAUUAAAAAUGCCACAUAUUGGAAACAAGAUGAAUAUCCUGACUUAUCAGACAACACUUUACAAAAAUUUUAUUUUCUUCUUCUUGUUCCUUCUUUGAUUAAUUUUAAAAGCGAAGAGGAAGAGUUAAAAGACGUUGAUGUUGUUUUUUAGUGCAGCCA